UGGAGUACAUUUGAAAACCCUCUACUUAGGAAGUAUUAAGAGGUGGUUUGAGGAUUCAGACCUAUAAAGGCAGUUUCGCCUUCUUCACUUUAAGUACAUUGCCUGAUUCAGUUGUGAGACACUUUGAACUUUCAACUGAAAACACUCAAAUGAAAUAGGAAUGAUUGUAUUACUUCUCCCUGCUCUCUCAGAGUCUUAUUUUUACAUUCUUCGGAAGUUUACCUUCAGAUAUUUUUCUUGGUAUUUGACAUUUUGUGGUUUAACAGAUUGGGCAGCCUUUAAAAAAGUUCGAUUUUGUUUGAAUUGAAUAGUAUGCAAAAUUACCAGAGAGACAUUUUUCAGGAACCAGUAGACAUCUCUUAUUAAGGGUUAGCGGU
This 377-nucleotide long non-coding RNA is filed under the name Bos taurus (domestic cattle). Its description in RNAcentral is "long non-coding RNA NONBTAT004876". Lineage: Eukaryota; Metazoa; Chordata; Mammalia; Artiodactyla; Bovidae. The record is from RNAcentral.